This 253-nucleotide ribosomal RNA is filed under the name uncultured bacterium. RNAcentral's name for it is "partial 16S ribosomal RNA". It matches the Rfam family "Bacterial small subunit ribosomal RNA", at positions 524 to 776 of the family's 1533-position model. The record is from RNAcentral.
UACGGAGGAUGCAAGCGUUAUCCGGAAUGAUUGGGCGUAAAGCGUCCGCAGGUGGCUGUGUAAGUCUGCUGUUAAAGAGUCAUGCUCAACAUGAUAAGAGCAGUGGAAACUACACGGCUAGAGUGCGUUCGGGGCAGAGGGAAUUCCUGGUGUAGCGGUGAAAUGCGUAGAUAUCGAGAGGAACACCUGCGGCGAAGGCGGGUUGCUGGGCCGACACUGACGCUGAUGCGCGAAAGCCAGGGGAGCGAACGGG